ACGCUCGACACCUACGGGAGGCAGCAGUGGGGAAUAUUGCACAAUGGGGGAAACCCUGAUGCAGCGACGCCGCGUGAGCGAAGAAGUAUUUCGGUAUGUAAAGCUCUAUCAGCAGGGAAGAAACUGACGGUACCUGACUAAGAAGCACCGGCUAAAUACGUGCCAGCAGCUGCGGUAAUCUGAGGCGGGCUGGCAAGGC
Molecule: ribosomal RNA, 199 nt
Filed under: uncultured bacterium
Lineage: Bacteria
Description: partial 16S ribosomal RNA
Rfam family: Bacterial small subunit ribosomal RNA
Source: RNAcentral